UUACAGACAUGUAGGAAAGGUUUUUGCGUGCCAGCAAUAUAUAAAAAAUGCAAGGAAGAAAAAUAUUGGAUGCUAUAUGAAGGAAAUACAUUUCCAACCAUCAAGGAAAAUAAAAUUAAACAUAACUGUGAAAAAUUUGAGAAAUAGUUCAAGAGAAUUGUCUUAUUACAAAGCUUUCACACCUCAGGCAAUAGAGAAGCUGAACCCACCUAUCAACGUCUCAGUUUCCCUUGAAAACAGAAGUAUUAAAAUUCACUGGAAACCUCCACCUACUAUUGGUUCAGCAAGGAAAAAGUGUUUUUUGUACCAAGUGAAAAUAACAGAUCAUAACAUUGCAAAUGUCAGUGAAGAGAACUAUAAGUAUCCAUUUCAUAAGCCAGCAAAAAGAUGUGCAGCACAAGUGAGGGUAAAGAAAGAGAUUUGCAUAGCAAACAAGAUCUGGAGUGAAUGGAGUGAACCAGUAUUUAUUCAUUAUGGUAAGUAAUGUACUUACUACUCAUAACUGUUAUCAUGGGUUGUGUUACUACCAUUCA
Molecule: long non-coding RNA, 533 nt
Filed under: Chloebia gouldiae (Gouldian finch)
Lineage: Eukaryota; Metazoa; Chordata; Aves; Passeriformes; Passeridae
Description: Erythrura gouldiae (Gouldian finch) lncRNA (ENSEGOG00005008824.1)
Source: RNAcentral